This 329-nucleotide ribosomal RNA is filed under the name uncultured eukaryote. Its description in RNAcentral is "partial 18S ribosomal RNA". It matches the Rfam family "Eukaryotic small subunit ribosomal RNA", at positions 1470 to 1796 of the family's 1831-position model. The record is from RNAcentral.
CCCUUAGAUGUUCUGGGCCGCACGCGCGCUACAAUGAUGAAUUCAACGAGUUUAUAACCUUGGUUGAAAAGCCUGGGUAAUCUUUUGAACUUUCGUCGUGAUGGGGCUAGACCCUUGCAAUUAUUGGUCUCCAACGAGGAAUUCCUAGUAAACGCAAGUCAUCAGCUUGCAUUGAUUACGUCCCUGCCCUUUGUACACACCGCCCGUCGCACCUACCGAUUGAAUGGUCCGGUGAAAUCUUCGGAUUGAGACUUUGAUUUCUUCACGGAAAACGCUGUUUUAAGAAGUUGAUUAAACCUUACCAUUUAGAGGAAGGUGAAGUCGUAACA